UUUGGAAAGUAAGUGUGCAAAAAUAGUAUCUUGUGGGGCUCGACAUAGUGCCAUUCUGACAGGUAUAACUUGAAAAUAUUAGAAUUUUUCCAUUACGGAACUCACAUCAGAUAUUUUUUGAGUUUACUUCUACAGUUUUCUUUGACUAUGAAAUAUGCCCAUCCAAUUAGAAUUUGGAAAACUUUAGUGCAGUAUAGACAUUCAUCCAAACAGGCUGUCCUUAAAGUUGUGGCUCUAGAUUACUUCUUAUAGUAGAGACACAUUAGCAAGAUGAAAAUUUAUACCUUAAAAUGUCCCUUUAAGCCACUUGAAUUUGUACGUGCUCAAGUUCUUAUUUUUGUUGUGCUCUUUGUGUGUCAAAGUAGAGGACGGCCAAGUAUACAGUUGGGGAUGGAACAAGUACGGUCAGGUAGAUCCUCAAAUGCUUCUUACUAAAAUUAAUUCAUAAUGGCGCCAACGUUCUUGUGUCAAAGAAACUUAUUUUUAUCAUUGUUUUGCAAUGCAGCUUGGCGUGGGUGACUCAAUCGACCGUAACAUUCCUUCUCGUGUUCCCAUUGAAGGUUGUCGGCCAAAAAAUGUUGCUUGUGGUUGGUGGCACACGCUACUGCUGGCGGAAACACCACUUUGAGUCCUUACAUUCAUCAUAGAUAACAAAGUGGUGACAGUUUUGCUAGGAUAGCGACUUCUUCCCCCAGUUUAUUUUUAUUUGACGCUUGUACUCUCGCGUAUAAUGUAUAUACUGCAUGAAAGCAUCUGUCAAAUUUUCUUUUCUUUCUCUAGGAGAUAGCAAACUGGUACUUCAUAGCAAAAAAACGACAAUAGUCCUUGUAAUGAUACAAUAGUCUUUUAGAUUGCAACUUUUUGUUUCUUCUAAAGGAAAUUCCACUGGCAGCCUCUGACUAACUACACUAGAAAGGAAGAUGGUGCGUUAAAUCUUGCUUGAAAUAGGACUUCUUUUGCGUUGCAGAAGCUGCAUCAGAGGCCAGAAGAUAUCGAGCCGGUGAAAUCCCUUGGAAGCCUCAACAAUAAACCGAGCCCAUGUGUUGUUUGAUCGGCUUUCCAGUACACCCUUCAAAAUGGUCAACUCCAAGCUACGAAUCACUUGGGCAAUCUCUAAGAAAAGACAAUGCUCAUUACAAAGUAUCUCAAUGAGCAUGUGUCCAGGACAUGCAAGAUCUUCCACUAGUAUUGGGCACGCCAGGAACUCAUUUCCAAAUUCACAAGCCCAGCUUGCUCCACUUCGGCGAUUUUCCUUGGUUUCGUAAGACCUCCAAUUCUUGUUACCAUCAAGCUCCUGAUGCACACAUUGCCUCAAUUUCUCAGCCUGAUCGGUAACACUUCGUAAAUACAGCAUGUGCCUUAUGGUUCGAUCCAAGAGGCCAUCAAU
RNAcentral lists this unclassified non-coding RNA (1387 nucleotides) under Hevea brasiliensis (rubber tree). Lineage: Eukaryota; Viridiplantae; Streptophyta; Magnoliopsida; Malpighiales; Euphorbiaceae. The record is from RNAcentral.